AAUGUAGAUGAAAAGAGAGAGAUGCGUCAACGUACCUCUCUAGUGUAGAGCCGUUUGAGACGGUGACCUUUUGGAUUAUUUAAA
RNAcentral lists this small RNA (84 nucleotides) under Enterococcus faecalis. RNAcentral describes it as "RNA anti-toxin A". It matches the Rfam family "RNA anti-toxin A". Lineage: Bacteria; Bacillati; Bacillota; Bacilli; Lactobacillales; Enterococcaceae. The record is from RNAcentral.